GUAGGUGAACCUGCGGAAGGAUCAUUAACACGUAUCCACGUUAAUAUCAAAGACCAAGAACUGUGCUCCCUGGUGCCGACCUCUUUGCUGUCGAUUUGGGUUCUAAUGGAGUUAUAGCGGGCGAUUUGCGCGAUAGCCUUCUAUAGCAUACUUGGAUCGACUAUCACUCCUCGAGAGUGUGGCAAGGUGACUGGUUUCCGGGCUUAUCCAUCAUUCAACUCUUCGACCCUUUUGAAGAGCGGUUUGGUAC
This 250-nucleotide unclassified non-coding RNA is filed under the name plant metagenome. RNAcentral's name for it is "partial contains small subunit ribosomal RNA, internal transcribed spacer 1, and 5.8S ribosomal RNA". The record is from RNAcentral.